Parelaphostrongylus tenuis is the source of this 72-nucleotide non-coding RNA. NCBI's taxonomy places the organism in Eukaryota, Metazoa, Nematoda, Chromadorea, Rhabditida, Metastrongylidae. The record is from the annotation of a GenBank genome assembly.
GCGACGUAGUGCAAUGGUUUAGCGCAUGCCCUCGGAAAGAGAGAGAUCUGGGUUCGAAUCCCGGAUGACGCA